UACGUAGGGGGCAAGCGUUAUCCGGAUUUACUGGGUGUAAAGGGAGCGUAGACGGCGAUGCAAGUCUGAAGUGAAAGGCGGGGGCCCAACCCCCGGACUGCUUUGGAAACUGUAUGGCUGGAGUGCAGGAGAGGUAAGUGGAAUUCCUAGUGUAGCGGUGAAAUGCGUAGAUAUUAGGAGGAACACCAGUGCCGAAGGCGGCUUACUGGACUGUAACUGACGUUGAGGCUCGAAAGCGUGGGGAGCAAACAGG
RNAcentral lists this ribosomal RNA (253 nucleotides) under uncultured bacterium. Its description in RNAcentral is "partial 16S ribosomal RNA". It matches the Rfam family "Bacterial small subunit ribosomal RNA", at positions 524 to 776 of the family's 1533-position model. The record is from RNAcentral.